AGGUGAAAUUUAUAACCAAAAAUAUAUUUAUUUGAAGGAGAAGCUUAGUCUAUUUAAUCCUUAGGGAGAGACUUGGAUUAGAUACCCUAUUAUUCUAAGGAGGAAAUUUUUAUACUUGAUUAUUAUUUGUUAUGUGCUUGAAAUUUAAAGAAUUUGGCGGUAUUUAAGUCUGGUCAGAGGAACCUGCUUCUUAAAACGAUAACCCCCGAAGGAUCUUAUUUUUCUUUGUUUUUCAGCUUGUAUACCUCCAUUAUUAGAUAUAGUUAAUAAAAUUUUAUUUUAAUAUAGAUGAACGUCUUAUAGUAUAUUAGGUCAAGGUGCAGCUAAUAGGAAAAUUGAUUGUGGGUUACAUUUUUAUAAAAAAUUCGGAUAAAAGUUUGAAUUAAAUUCUUUGAAGUUGGAUUUGAUUGUAAAUUUUAUUUAAUAAGUAAAAUUGAUAUUAGCUCUUAAAUAUGUACACAUCGCCCGUCGCUCUCAUGUUUAAAUUGAGAUA
RNAcentral lists this ribosomal RNA (493 nucleotides) under Ensiger custos. RNAcentral's name for it is "Anchistus custos partial small subunit ribosomal RNA". The record is from RNAcentral. Lineage: Eukaryota; Metazoa; Arthropoda; Malacostraca; Decapoda; Palaemonidae.